CCCGGCGUGGACGUGAGCCGGCCUCAGCUGGUGCUGCCGCGGCUGGCGCUGCCUGUGGGGCACUACUGCUUUGUGUUUGUCGUGUCAUUUGGGGACACGCCACUGGCACGGAGCAUCCAGGCCAACGUGACGGUGGCCCCCGAGCGCCUGGUGCCCAUCAUUGAGGGUGGCUCGUACCGCGUGUGGUCGGACACACAGGACCUGGUGCUGGAUGGGAGCGAGUCCUACGACCCCAACCUGGAGGACGGCGACCAGACGCCGCUCAGUUUCCACUGGGCCUGUGUGGCUUCGACACAGAGGGAGGCUGGCGGGUGUGCGCUGAACUUUGGGCCCCGCGGGAGCAGCAUGGUCUCCAUUCCACGGGAGCGGCUGGUGGCCGGCGUGGAGUACACCUUCAGCCUCACCGUGUGGAAGGCCGGCCGCAAGGAGGAGGCCACCAACCAGACGGUGGGUGCCGCCCACCCCUUGGCCACAUGCCUCGGACAGCCCAGCAUCCCCGCUCAUCUACUGUUUUCUGUAUUUUAGUGCUUGUGGAGGCCGUACGCUCUCCGCUUUCUGUUUUUGAUGCAAAUUCUAUUUAACACAACAGCCUGCUUCAGCUUUGCUUCCUUCCAAACCUGUCACAGUUCCAUAUACAGUCUUCAAGCCACAUAUGCUCUAGUGAUUGACAAAAGCUACACAGUC
RNAcentral lists this small RNA (684 nucleotides) under Pongo abelii (Sumatran orangutan). Its description in RNAcentral is "processed transcript". The record is from RNAcentral. Lineage: Eukaryota; Metazoa; Chordata; Mammalia; Primates; Hominidae.